GCCACCCCACAGCUUCUCCUUGAGAAACAAGGACGAGCCAAGCCCUGCGUGUCCGGGGUCCGCGGGACAGCUCCGUCCCCAGGAAUCCCCGAGACAGAUCCGAGAGUCCCCGGGGCUGGCUCUGUCCCCAAGAGUCCCCAGGGGUGGCUCUGUCCCCCAGGGCACCCCGGGGGCAGCUCCGUGCCCACCUCGCGCUGCCAGCACGAGGAUUUGCCGGCUUGGAAUGGCUCAUGGAUGGAUUAGCAAAGCCUGGGAUGGAGCAGCGCCUCCCCCGGGAGCGAGAGCGGGAUGUGCCGGAUGCCGCCGAGCGGGUGGCGAUGGCAGCAGGUGACCCCGGGCGGCGCGGGGGUGGCACGGCCGCCAGGCACGAGCCAUGCGGGGCCCGGUGGCCGGAGCCUUACUUGCAUGUAGAGCUGGGCCCUAGGGGAGGAGGUCUCCACCAU
Passer domesticus (house sparrow) is the source of this 443-nucleotide long non-coding RNA. RefSeq lists it as uncharacterized. The record is from RefSeq and is a predicted model, not a curated record. The transcript is spliced from 3 exons. NCBI's taxonomy places the organism in Eukaryota, Metazoa, Chordata, Aves, Passeriformes, Passeridae.